AUUCCCUUUCUCUCUCUUUCUCUCCCCCCUCGGCCGCGUUCUCGCCUCUCCGUCACCGCCUUUCCUCCGGCGACGAAACCCUGCGACGAAACGGCGGCGACGAUGCAGCAGGCGGCAGGAGGUGCUGAUUCCCAGCAACAACAGCAGCAGCAGCAGCAACAGCAAUGGAUGGCGAUGCAGUACCCGCCGGCGGCGGCAAUGGUGAUGCCACACCAGAUGGUGGCGGCGGUGCCGCCGCCACCCCCGCCGCAGUACGCUCAGCAUUUCCUUCCGUACCACCAGCCGCCUCCGCCGCAGCACCACCAGCACCAGGCCGGGGCGGCGGGGGGGGAGGAGAACAAGACGAUCUGGGUGGGGGACCUGCACUACUGGAUGGAGGAGAACUACCUCCACAGCUGCUUCGGCCACACCGGCGAGGUGGUCUCUAUUAAAGUUAUUCGCAAUAAACAAACUGGACAGUCAGAGGGAUAUGGUUUUGUAGAGUUUUAUACACGUGCAGCAGCUGAAAAAGUACUUCAGAGCUUUGCUGGUCAUAUAAUGCCCAACACUGAUCAGCCUUUUAGGUUAAAUUGGGCAUCAUUUAGCAUGGGUGAUAGGCGUUCAGAUGUUGCUUCUGACCACUCUAUAUUUGUAGGAGAUCUAGCUGCUGAUGUUACUGAUGCAAUGCUGCAAGAAACUUUUGCUAGUAAGUACCCAUCCGUAAAAGGUGCAAAAGUUGUUAUUGAUGCAAAUACUGGCCGUUCAAAGGGUUAUGGAUUUGUAAGAUUUGGGAAUGAUGGUGAGAAGACACUUGCCAUGACUGAAAUGAAUGGUGUAUACUGCUCUACUAGGCCCAUGCGCAUUGGUCCUGCAACCCCCAGAAAGUCAUCUGGUGGUUCUGGAAAUGGUGCAUCUGGACAAUCAGAUGGUGAUUCAACUAACACAACAGUUUUUGUUGGAGGGCUGGACCCAAAUGUCAGUGAGGACGAUCUCAGGCAAGCCUUUUCUCCAUUUGGUGAUAUUGCCUCUGUGAAAAUUCCAGUUGGAAAACAAUGUGGAUUUGUGCAAUUUGUUCAGAGAUUUUAUGUGUAUGGCACUUCACUGUCUUUGGUAGAAACAAUGCUGAAGAAGCAUUGCAGGCGUUGAAUGGAGCAGUCAUCGGGAAGCAGCAGGUUCGUCUUUCAUGGGGUCGUAACCCUGCAAACAAACAGUUAAGAGGUGAUCAUGGUAAUCAAUGGAAUGGUUUUUACUAUGGAGCACCGUUCUACAAUGGAUACGGGUAUGCUGCACCAUUUCCAGACCCAAGCAUGUAUGCUGCUGCUUAUGGGGCUUAUUCCUUCUAUGGAAACCAACAACAAGUGAGCUGAUUUGGGUAUCAAAAUCUGAGCUGGCUAAGUUGCUCUGAGUGACUGAUAGAAGGUAGAUGAUUUUAGGAGAGUUAGUAGAUUUUGACUGGUAAUGUAACAUAAUCCAGAUUUAGCACUUCCCCAGUCACCCAUUUUCAUCGAAGAUUUUUGUCAUUCUUUUUUAUAAAUUUUGACUCGGUGAUGAAAGUAAACUAGAAUUUUUUUAAGCUGCAUCGAUGUGCUUCAAUUUGAUAUAUUGUUUUAAGAUGAUUUAUAUGUACGAUAACAAAAUUAACUUCUAAAAUUAAGUUUUUGGAUAAUGGUUUUUGGGAAA
Elaeis guineensis (African oil palm) is the source of this 1659-nucleotide RNA transcript. It is a transcript of the gene named polyadenylate-binding protein RBP47, with no coding region annotated. The record is from RefSeq and is a predicted model, not a curated record. NCBI's taxonomy places the organism in Eukaryota, Viridiplantae, Streptophyta, Magnoliopsida, Arecales, Arecaceae.